Python bivittatus (Burmese python) is the source of this 998-nucleotide non-coding RNA. Lineage: Eukaryota; Metazoa; Chordata; Lepidosauria; Squamata; Pythonidae. The record is from RefSeq and is a predicted model, not a curated record.
CCAGCGCAGCCUGCCUCGCCGUCUCCCCCAUCAGGGCCACCCCCGGGGCUCUUGUGGGCGCUCCCCGCCGCCCCCCACGCGUGGCUCAGAAGGCAGCCCUGCCCCCUUUGCCUGCCCGCUGCUCUUCCAGGCGCAGAGCAGGGUGGGCACGGGUGCCGGGUUUCCCUGGGAGUCCGUUCCACCCGUGCCACAAGUAGGGCUGCCCUUGAGCUCCUUGGAGGCGGAGGGGUUUCCUAAAAAGCCCUGGCGCCGAUCCAGGGAUCUCGGGCUGUCUUCCAGAUGCCAGCAAACGUGGAGAUCAAGGCCCGGGUGCAGGAUCUGGCCCAGCUGAUCAGCAGGGUGGAGCAGCUGAGCGGGUCCCCUGCCCAGGUCCUGCUUCAGACAGACACCUUCUUUCCUGUUCCCCGCGGACGGCUGAAGCUUCGCGACUUGAGAGAUGGCCGUGGACAGCUGGUGUUUUAUGACCGGCCGAACUCCAGAGGCCCCAAGCUCUCUCACUUUACCAUCUCUCCCACAGAUGACCCCAGAGGACUUGCGGCAGUGCUGUCCCAGGCGCUCGGAGAGCAAGGAGUGGUGAAGAAGGAGCGCCAUCUCUACAUGGUGGGCCAGACCCGCGUCCACGUGGAUCAUGUGGAAGGACUGGGCGACUUUGUGGAGCUGGAGAUGCCCAGCGCCUCUAGCAAUGGGGAGGGAGUGGGCAUCUGCCACGCAGAGGAGUCCCCCCUCCCCCGGCUCCCAAAGCUGGAAUACGGGAGACGCUUCCCUGAAUUGUUCCUCCUUUGUCCCUGAUGGCAGAACGGAGCAGGUAAACACUGUUCGCCAUGUUGCCGCGUGAUCUCCCAGACAGCCAGACCGUGCCUGGAGGUGAUAAACACGGUCGGAGAAAAGAGCUGUGAAAGAAACAGGUGGUGUUACAGGAACAACAGAGUCUCCAGGAGGGUGAGGAAGUGGCCCGGCAACUGAUGUGCAGGUUGGGCAUAGAGGUGAACGAUCUGAUC